This 394-nucleotide ribosomal RNA is filed under the name uncultured organism. RNAcentral describes it as "bacterial SSU rRNA". It matches the Rfam family "Bacterial small subunit ribosomal RNA", at positions 45 to 433 of the family's 1533-position model. The record is from RNAcentral.
GGCCUAACACAUGCAAGUCGAGCGGCAGCGGGAAAGUAGCUUGCUACUUUUGCCGGCGAGCGGCGGACGGGUGAGUAAUGCCUGGGAAAUUGCCCAGUCGAGGGGGAUAACAGUUGGAAACGACUGCUAAUACCGCAUACGCCCUACGGGGGAAAGCGGGGGACCUUCGGGCCUCGCGCGAUUGGAGCGGCCGAUGGCAGAUUAGGUAGUUGGUGGGGUAAAGGCCUACCAAGCCUGCGAUCUGUAGCUGGUCUGAGAGGACGACCAGCCACACUGGGACUGAGACACGGCCCAGACUCCUACGGGAGGCAGCAGUGGGGAAUUUUGGACAAUGGGCGCAAGCCUGAUCCAGCCAUUCCGCGUGCAGGAUGAAGGCCCUCGGGUUGUAAACUGC